AUGACCGCCAUCACUGUGCCCGACCGACGGGACCUCCAGCUUAGAGAAAAGAUGAAUCGUAAAGUUCUGCUCGCAGUCCUUGUAGUCGCGGCUCUUGCCGUCUCUAGCGAAGCUCUUUUCAAGGAGAAAAAAUUGGCGAAGAUGUUCCUGCUCGGCGUGGCCCUCGCUCCUCGCGGAUUCGUUCCCGUACCGAUCCCACAGUACAAGCACAGCUACGGCCAUGAGCAUGUUCAUGUACAACACCACCACGGUCACCACUACGAUGAUCACCACCACGGCUGGCAUUAGAUUUCGCUGACUGACUAUGCACUAUGCAGAGAUCGAUGAUUGACCAGACGCUGAUGAGGGCAGUCGAUCUAGAUGCUCUCUCUGGUGGCUGCGAUUCCCGAACUCACCUCGAUCUGCUUCUUCCAUUUCUCCGUGUGUCGAUCGUCAUCGCUGUACACUGUAUAUAGUU
Molecule: long non-coding RNA, 457 nt
Organism: Galendromus occidentalis (western predatory mite)
Lineage: Eukaryota; Metazoa; Arthropoda; Arachnida; Mesostigmata; Phytoseiidae
Exons: 3
Source: RefSeq, a predicted model, not a curated record